Molecule: long non-coding RNA, 1348 nt
Filed under: Podarcis muralis (Common wall lizard)
Lineage: Eukaryota; Metazoa; Chordata; Lepidosauria; Squamata; Lacertidae
Description: lncRNA (ENSPMRG00000019987.1)
Source: RNAcentral
AGUGUGCGUGUGUGCGCGGUGCAGGUUUGCAAGCUUUAUAAUACAUAUGGGGGGGGGGGCGUUUCAGGCUUUCCCCGCUAGCAGCGGCGGGAAGCCUGGGGCGAGGGAUUUCUGCUCGAGAGGACGAGCUAGCUGCACACACACACACACACACACACUAUGCAAAAAGCAAACUCUGGUUGUUUACCUUCAUUUGUAGAGGGGACUGGAAAAUAAGCCCCCCCCAACUCCCCAACACAGAUAUUCGCGCUCGAAUCUAUAAAACCCAUGCAGCAAACGAAACGUAGCCGAUUAUGGGGGCGGUUAUUAUUUCGUUCAGUAAGAGGAAGCGGGGGAGAGAGAAAUACUGCCCGGGGCAGCUGGAGGCGGGAGGAAGCUGGCGAGGAAAGCGGGGAAAGGCUGCGAAGUAAGCCCGCUGCAGCCGCAGCUCCGGCGCGCCUUACCGAUGUGGAUGAUCGAAUCUGCCAGCGCCGCUUCCCAGGUUCCGGUCCAGCACACGGACACGAGCAAAGCGAGGGGGAAAACUUCCAUCUCCUGCGCUUCGGGCAAGCGGGGAGGAGUGGUUGGUUCGGGAAACGGGGGGUAGUAGUAAGGGGGGGCAGGAGGUUAGCGAUCACACCAGCGACAAGGACGAAGGGAGCCCAAGAAAAGAGAGACGAGAGUUUGAGGAGCCUCUAAAUCCCGGUUGGAUCCUCCAAGGAAAAAAAAAUUAGGAGGAAAGGAAAAAGCUGCAAGAGGGAGCCGAUCCCAGGCUGGUUGGGGAGCCUCUCGCAACGAGCCCCGCGUCACUUCGGGGGGCGGCCGGGCAUCACCAGAGUUGUGGGGAGUUGCUGCAGCAAAUCAAUCCAGCACAUCACCGCCGCCGCGAGAGAUGUCAAUCGGGAAGCAGUUCGGCGUGUCCCUGUGUCGAUCACACCAUCCUCAGCCUUUUUAUUGUUAUGUUUCAACGUCAUGUGUGAUGGCCUGGGAAUCUGAUUCAGAGGCUGAACCGGAGGAAUCCCAGCCUGCACAGGAGUCCCUGCCUCCAGGGCCGGCUGAGCCGGGGCAGGGCCUUGAAUCUGAAGCGCCUGCACCUGUGCCAGGUCCUCAGGAGCAGACACCAGAUGAAUCCACUCUGGCUCCGGAGGUGAUUGAGGACACAUUGCCUACAGGUGCUCCUCUCCCAGCCCUGUCAGGGGAAGGUGAGCCUCCCCCUGGGUCCAGUAACCCUCCAGCCUCUCCUGAGCUGCAGAGGCUCAGGGCAGAGAGGCGGAGGGAACUGGGUUCUCUCAGGAGGAGUGCUUGCCUUAAGGCCAGGAGAGGCGGGUCACCUGUGGGCCGGGACCGCCCCUGGCCUCAGAGAAGAUAA